RNAcentral lists this ribosomal RNA (498 nucleotides) under uncultured bacterium. RNAcentral describes it as "partial 16S ribosomal RNA". It matches the Rfam family "Bacterial small subunit ribosomal RNA", at positions 28 to 523 of the family's 1533-position model. The record is from RNAcentral.
GAUGAACGCUGGCGGCGUGCCUAAUACAUGCAAGUCGAACGGUAACAGGUCUUCGGAUGCUGACGAGUGGCGAACGGGUGAGUAAUGCAUCGGAACGUGCCCAGUUGUGGGGGAUAACUGCUCGAAAGAGCAGCUAAUACCGCAUACGACCUGAGGGUGAAAGCGGGGGAUCGCAAGACCCCGCGCAAUUGGAGCGGCCGAUGUCAGAUUAGGUAGUUGGUGGGGUAAAGGCCUACCAAGCCGACGAUCUGUAGUUGGUCUGAGAGGACGACCAGCCACACUGGGACUGAGACACGGCCCAGACUCCUACGGGAGGCAGCAGUGGGGAAUUUUGGACAAUGGGCGCAAGCCUGAUCCAGCAAUGCCGCGUGCAGGAAGAAGGCCUUCGGGUUGUAAACUGCUUUUGUCAGGGAAGAAAUCCUCUGGGUUAAUACCCCGGGGGGAUGACGGUACCUGAAGAAUAAGCACCGGCUAACUACGUGCCAGCAGCAGCCGCGG